Molecule: transfer RNA, 74 nt
Filed under: Olpidium bornovanus
Lineage: Eukaryota; Fungi; Olpidiomycota; Olpidiomycetes; Olpidiales; Olpidiaceae
Description: tRNA-Pro
Source: RNAcentral
AGGCAGAUAGCUCAUUCGGUUAGAGCGUCGUUCGGGGAAGGGGAAGUUCCUGAGUUCAACCCUCGGUCAGCCCA